This 587-nucleotide ribosomal RNA is filed under the name Pseudomonas sp. StFRB044. Its description in RNAcentral is "bacterial SSU rRNA". It matches the Rfam family "Bacterial small subunit ribosomal RNA", at positions 102 to 683 of the family's 1533-position model. Lineage: Bacteria; Pseudomonadati; Pseudomonadota; Gammaproteobacteria; Pseudomonadales; Pseudomonadaceae. The record is from RNAcentral.
ACGGGUGAGUAAUGCCUAGGAAUCUGCCUGGUAGUGGGGGACAACGUUUCGAAAGGAACGCUAAUACCGCAUACGUCCUACGGGAGAAAGCAGGGGACCUUCGGGCCUUGCGCUAUCAGAUGAGCCUAGGUCGGAUUAGCUAGUUGGUGAGGUAAUGGCUCACCAAGGCGACGAUCCGUAACUGGUCUGAGAGGAUGAUCAGUCACACUGGAACUGAGACACGGUCCAGACUCCUACGGGAGGCAGCAGUGGGGAAUAUUGGACAAUGGGCGAAAGCCUGAUCCAGCCAUGCCGCGUGUGUGAAGAAGGUCUUCGGAUUGUAAAGCACUUUAAGUUGGGAGGAAGGGUUGUAGAUUAAUACUCUGCAAUUUUGACGUUACCGACAGAAUAAGCACCGGCUAACUCUGUGCCAGCAGCCGCGGUAAUACAGAGGGUGCAAGCGUUAAUCGGAAUUACUGGGCGUAAAGCGCGCGUAGGUGGUUCGUUAAGUUGGAUGUGAAAUCCCCGGGCUCAACCUGGGAACUGCAUCCCAAAACUGGCGAGCUAGAGUAUGGUAGAGGGUGGUGGGAAUUUCCUGUGUAGCGGUG